CACAGAUGUUAGCUCAAGACCAGUCUUCCUCAGGAAGAAAGAGGAGGAUUGGCAGCAGAUGUUAGCUCAGGGCUAAUCUUCCUCAAAAAAAAAAUAUUGCACGUGUUUGCUUUAACCAUUUUACCAAUGAGCAGGCUGAUUUACACCACCUCCUGCCCUUCCUGCUGAUGUCUUCGUGGGACCCCCGCCCCAGGUCACCCCUCGAUUCUCUCUUGGGCCCCAGAAGGACCCAGUGUGAUGGGCACUCGAGCUGGCCUCACCAUGCCUAGUGACCCGGCCACCCAGCUAAGCCAGGCCCGGCAGGGAGAGGCUGCUCAGCUGACAUGUGACACUUUCUGUAAGACGGUCACUCACAUUUCUCCGUCAUCACCCUCAACUCCCAGACCUAACAGCUCACUCCCAGGUAUUUAGAAACUAUACUUUUUGUCCCUUGUGCUAUAUUAUUCUCCUUGUACCUCGGGGGCUGGACUUGGUCCUCUGCAGACGCAGGAAUGAAGUAGAAGCAGAAGGCAUCAGAGCCAGAGGGGACCCCAGGAAUCAUCUAUGUUCACCUCCUCCUGUGCAAGUGGGGAAACCGAAGCCCAGAGAGGUGAACCAGGGUGGGAGUCAUUUUCCUGACUCCCCAUCCAGCGCUCACCUUGGCAGCCCAGGCUGCCUCCCCAGCGCCCCAGCCCCGUCGGCAUUCAGAGAGACAGCCCGAGGUGCUGAUGGGGGUCAAAGGCAGCGAGACAGCCUUCCAGCCGGCAGCCACAUGAACCAUGAAGAGUUGCUGCUGCCUUGCUGAUCAGCCUGGGGAGCGGGGAUUGACCGGAAUGCAGAGCAGAAGUGCGGCGCAGGCGCAGUGGGGCAAGGGGACCACCUCUAUCCCCUCGGGAGGCCGUACUGCAGGAUGGCCCGGGGUGGGGGGCGGGGCAUGGGGGCUCUUUUCUCCUGCCGGUCCACCCUCUCUUCCCCAUAUUCACUCAUCUCCCCUCCCAUCUCUCCUCCUCCUCCUCCUGGCUUCCCCCUCUCCCCGACUCCCUUUCUCCCUCCGCCCCAGCCCCGCAGCAAACCUGGCCUGCUUUUCCGGAUCCCGGUCCUCUGUGGAUCCCUCUGAUGCUGCUCCUCAGGAAGAGCUAGCCCCUUCUCCAGGGUGGGGACUGCACCCAGCCACUGCUCCCUCCUUUGUCUGAAUGAGCAGUUCCUGGGCCCCGGGUGGCCCCUCCUUUCCUGAGAGAGGUGGGGGCUCUCAGACCCUGUGCAGAGGCAAGGACAGGGAGGGAACCUUCAGGAGUUGGAGCUAAUGGAAGGAGAGGGAGUGGAGCAAAAUGGGUGAUCUGGGAGGGAAGAGGGCCAGAUGGGCGGGGGGUCGGGCCCUGGCCAGUGGGUGUGCAGAGAAUGGAGCCACUUGACAGCAUGGUGCCUGGGACCAUGUGUUCGUUGAAUGACUGCUUGAGGGAAGGAGUGACUGAAGGAGUAGAAGGAAGGCUCCAAGAUACUCAGAAGCUGGGGUUCCUGGCUCAGGGGCUCUGUCCCAUCGCACCAGCUCUGGGCUCCUCAGGGGUGACUCUGUGGAUUACACAUGACCCUGGAACUCCUCCCCUGGGAACCAUCCUGUGGCCUCUCACCAGCCCUCUGCUCGGAUGGAGAGCGAGGAGAGAGCGUGACCAGGCUGGCACGUAUGGAGGAAGGUGGCAGGCCCCAGGAGGCCUGUGUUCCCUGGAGGGAGCUGCCCGCCCCACCCCUCAGUGGUCACUGUGGCCUAGCCCCUGCCCCUUUAGAAACCAGGACGAGCAGCACCCGGCCUGGCUUUGGGUUUGUGCCUUUCACCAGCAAGAGGUCCCUGGGCACAAUGCCGGCCUGGCAGGAGGAGGGGGCCACUGUUCCUGGAGAGCUGGCACACCAGGGCCUCCAGAGGGCAGAGGAGGAAACUCUUGCCCUGAGAACACUGGCGUGGACCAAGACAGAAAUUCUAAAACCAGGGGCUACAGGUUACCCCGUCUUACGCAACUCGCUCCUUCGACAGGCAGGGAACUGCAGCCCAGAGAGGGAACCAGGUCUGCUCGGGGUCACUCAUGCAGUGACAGAGCCCAGAAGCCAGGUCUCCUGGCUUCACCAGAUGGUGCUGUUUGUCUGGUGAACAGGCAAACCAGGGAAAUGGCAGCAACAGUUCCCUGAGCUGAGCUCGAGGCGCCAUCCCUGGGGGCGGAGGGGUCCCGGCUGAGUAGGGGUGCAGGUGCGCACAGCCAAGGUUGGCGGGGCAGUUCAGGCCAGGGGGAAAUGCUUAGUUUCAAAGCACAUUGGUCUCAUUAGGGGUUUUUUUUAGAAUGUAUUAUUUAGGCCUGUGGAAUGAUCCACCUCAAUACCCCAGAGCUAUUGGGAGAAUUGAAUGAGAUAAUGGACACGAAAGUGCUGGGAAAACUUGACAGCCCUACAAACACUAGUCCUCAUUCUCACCUUAUUAUCAGAGGCCUGUCUUCCUAACACCUGGGUUUUAUGGAGAUUGAUAAAAUGAUAGAGCUGGAAGGGAUCCAAGACGCCACCCUGACCACUCGCCACCUCUUCGGGGGGGCCCAGAACCUUGGGGGCCAUCCUUAAGGAAAAGAAUGCAGAACCACAAAUGCAACGUUAAUACAAAAAUGAGCAUUUAUUUAGAAUAAGAAAUCACACCAAAGUAUCCAUUUCAAAAAGCCGACAAUACAGACAUCAGAAAAUUUGAGAAAAAAAUAACAAAAUAUUUUAUGUUAUUAUUAUUGAUCAUCUGUUGCCACUCACCUAUAGUGCUUUUCUCCUGCAUGUCUUGGCUGUAUAUUCUUUGAUCUCCUUUUUGGACAGUAAUUUUGUAAUGCUCUUUUCUAUAGAGAGAAUAAAAAGAGAAUUCUGUCUUUCCUGUAA
Molecule: non-coding RNA, 2874 nt
Organism: Equus caballus (horse)
Lineage: Eukaryota; Metazoa; Chordata; Mammalia; Perissodactyla; Equidae
Source: RefSeq, a predicted model, not a curated record